UACGUAGGGGGCUAGCGUUGCUCGGAAUGACUGGGCGUAAAGGGCGCGUAGGCGGUUUGUUCAGUCAGGUGUGAAAUUCCCGGGCUCAACCUGGGGGCUGCACUUGAUACGUAUGGACUGGAGUGGGGAAGAGGGUCGUGGAAUUCCCAGUGUAGAGGUGAAAUUCGUAGAUAUUGGGAAGAACACCGGUGGCGAAGGCGGCGACCUGGUCCUUGACUGACGCUGAGGCGCGAAAGCGUGGGGAGCAAACAGG
Molecule: ribosomal RNA, 253 nt
Filed under: uncultured bacterium
Lineage: Bacteria
Description: partial 16S ribosomal RNA
Rfam family: Bacterial small subunit ribosomal RNA
Source: RNAcentral